This is a long non-coding RNA of Eleginops maclovinus (Patagonian blennie), 630 nucleotides long. RefSeq lists it as uncharacterized. Lineage: Eukaryota; Metazoa; Chordata; Actinopteri; Perciformes; Eleginopidae. The transcript is spliced from 3 exons. The record is from RefSeq and is a predicted model, not a curated record.
GUGAUGGUUGACACACAUGACCCCUUAUCAUUAUGAGUCAAAGAGGAGCUGAAAUAGCAAAACGCUACCGGGAGCGCCGUGAUGCUGACCCUGACAGAAAAAGACAGUAUCUUGAAAAAGAGAGGGUCAGGUGGAAGAAGGACAGAGACACUGGAAAGAAAAAGGGCAUUGAUGAGCUGAGUGAGCGAGAGAAGAGGGCAAAAAGAAAGAAGUGGAGAGAGGCAAAAAAAGGCAGCCAGAGCAAAGUCCAGGGCCAGCGCUUUGCUUUUGUCGGAGACACCACCCAGUGAUCAGUCAAAAGUACAUGAACAGAAUAAAAGUUGGAGGCCAGAAGUCAUCGAGGAGAAGCACAUUGGUGAAUGGUGUGUAGUCAACUAUGACAAUGAUGGAUACCCUGGUAUCAUUCUUGAUGUAGAGGAGCACAAUGUGAAAGUGAAAUGCAUGCACAACAAAGGCAUCAACAAAUUCUGUUGGCCAAGUCCUCGUGAUGACAUCAACUGGUAUGGGGAUUGGCAGAUUCUGUGCCUCAUGUCGGAACCACAACUUGUGAACAGGCGUGCCUUCUCAGUUGAGCCAUCUGUAUGGAAGUACAUGGAGGACCAAUUACAGUAGACCUAGAUGUCCUGAUGU